UGAAUUCCGGCAGUUGGUCGGGACUGGACUAGCCCUUGUUUGGGUGAGCCAGUAUAAAUCUCUUGUGUUGUUCUCUGUUAAUUAUAGUUUUAUCUUUUAUCUAAAAACAACACUUAAUUAAAAAGAUCCUUCUUCCAGUUAUCUGGUCAAAUACAGAGGUUGACUACUUUACGCAGAUCCCUCAUCCAGUUAUCUGGUCAACCAUCUGAGGUUAUAUUCAUUGCUUUAUUCAUAUUUGUUCAAGCAUUUACUUAUCAUAUAUAUAUCCAGUUAUCUGGUCAUCUACUUGUUCAUCAAUAUAUCCAGUUAUCUGGUCAUUUAAUUGCUUAUCAUAUAUCCAGUUAUCUGGUCAUUUACUCUAUAAUAUAACUUGUGUUUAUAAUAUAACUUAGUAUUCAUAUACUAUAGUUGUUUAUAAAACACCAUCUGAAAAGUUGACUACGUAUUUAUAUAUUGUAGUAAACUUAAAGAAUAAAAGGCAAGUCUAAUAUAUAAUAUUAUAAGAUAUAAUAUUAUAUUCUUUAAAAUUAUAUAAUAGUAUUAUAUUGCUAACAAUAUUAUACUAUUAUUAUUAUACAACCAUUUGUGUACUUAAGUGUGUGCAGGUAAUUCCGCUAUUAACUUGCAUUAAUCGAAAAGAGGCUAUUAUCCCCCCUUAUAGCCUCGGAUCUCGAUCCAACAGU
RNAcentral lists this long non-coding RNA (683 nucleotides) under Zostera marina. RNAcentral's name for it is "long non-coding RNA (ZMAR_LNC004006)". The record is from RNAcentral. Lineage: Eukaryota; Viridiplantae; Streptophyta; Magnoliopsida; Alismatales; Zosteraceae.